AAAAAAAAAAAAAAAAUCAGAAUAUUGAGAAAAUUGCCUUUAAAGUUGUCCAAGUGAAGUUACUAAUAAUGCAAAUUACUAAUCAUAAAUUAAGUUUUGAUAUAUUUACAGUAGAAAUUUAGCUAAAUAUCUUCAUGGAACAUGAUCUUUACUGAUCUUACAUGAUCUUUAAUAAUUUUGACCCAUACAAUGUAUUUUUGGCUAUUGCUACAUAUAUACCCCAGCAACUUAAGACUGGUUUUGUGGUGUUUGUGACAAAUGCAUUACUAAUGCUAUUUUGUAAACUACAAAAAAAGUGUCUGAUUAUGUAAAAAAAACCUUGAGGUAAGUUUAGUUGCAUAUUCCACAUUGAGUACACAUACAAGUUAUUUUUUAAUUAAAAUUAAUUAUAUUUAAUAACUAGUUAAUUAUUUAGUUAAUUAUGGAAGCUUGUUUCCAUCUCAAAAAAUAGAUAAAUAAAUAAAUAAAAACCUUCAAACAUGACAGUACAGACUUUUACAUUAUUACAAAAAUCAAUUUCAUAUAUCUAUAUAUAUAUAUAUAUAUAUAUAUAUUUUUUUCAGUAUUUUUGUGUAUUUGAACCCUUUCCAACAAUGGCUGUAUGAUAUUGAGAUCCAUCUUUUCACACUGAGGCCAACCGAGGGACUCUAUUACACUAUUACAGAAGGUGCAAACGUUCACAUGAUGCUCCAGAAGAAAAAGCAAUGCAAUAAGAGCCAGGGGUGUAAACUCUUUAACAGAAUGAAGAUAUGUACAUGUUUCUUAUUUUGCCUAAAUAUCAUAUUUUUUCCUUUUAGCACUGCCCUUCAGAAGCAUUAGAAAAGACAAAAUAAGUUAAAUUUACCCUGAUCUUUAAAUUCAAAAAGUUUUUACCGCCCAUAAUUUUUAUGAAUUCAGAUAUUAUUGUCUUUUGUGGACUAUGUAAUCAUCUUUUAUGUUAAGUCUUAUUCAAGUCAGUACUAAAUAAAAAAAUAACAUUUAUUUGGUAUGAUCCCUCUUAUUUUGGUAAAAUAAUUAACAUUUUGAGAAAAAACUGAUUGACGGGAAAAUUCCUGAAUGAAAUUAAGGUUUGUAUUACGUUGUAUACCUUUUAAAUUAUCACUGUAUAAAUAGAAAACCGUCUAUAGUCUCACAUUUGUCCUUUUUUUGUUUUAUUGUAAUGUACGUCGCAGCUAACGUCUGUUUGGAACGCUAGCCUCUCACAAACGCAGCACUCACCUCAUCUAUACUGAAAGCGAACAACGCGCCGGCGACACCAUGGUAGAUUCACCUUCCUCCAAACAAAUAUGCAACCAGGGCUGAAACACAACGCAACUUCAUUGUUAUUAUAAGUAACAAAGUUUCCUCCACUGACUACAAUAGGAGCACUAUUGAUCUAGUAGUGUGCCACUGUUGCAGCUAUGUUCGCGCUGUGUGUUUGACAAGUUGAAAAUUGAAUGUCUGACAGACAAGAUGACACGAGGUAACGCUGUUUUUGAUGUAACUUUUUGAACAUGAAUAUAAGAUAAGUCAUAAAUAUAGUCAUUUAAAGAACUGGAACAGCCUACACUGUAAACCCCACUGUUGUCAUUAAUAAAGAAAUUAAGUUAAUGUAACUUGACAUUACUUAAAGUACUAAGUUUUGGCAUCAAAACUUAAACAGGUGUGUUUAACUUACUCAUUUAGCAGCAAAAAUGUUUUAAUUAAUAUUUUAAGUUCUCUGAACUCAACAUUUUAAUUCAUUUAAACGUUUCACCAUGUUUCUGUUUAAAAUGAUUGGUCGCGCUUGAAAUUCUGCUUUGACAACCGCGCUGAUUGGUCGAUAUAAAUUACUAUGACACAAGGCGGGAAUUUUUUUUUUGCCUUGUGCUGAAUUUUGCUGAAGCAGCAGCAGGACAGAGGCACUAGCAGAAACCAUCUGACAGAAGAAAGACAAAAGUUAAAUUAUAGCAGCACAAGUACGCUGGCGGUAAAGCAGGUGGGAAGAGAGUCGUCCUAAAACAUUCAUUAGAGUGACGUUACACAGCUGCACUUGCUGGCAGGCGAUUGUGAAGCAGGCGGGGACACGCAUGGAGUCGUGAUAAAGGCCCAUGGAUUACGCUGCGGCACUUGCAGGCAGGCGGUCGUGAAGCAGGCGGUGACAGGGAUGGAGUAGUUAUGAAGGCCCAUGGAUUACACUGGUAAGUUAAUGUUUAACACGUCUGCACGUUUUGGUUUAUUGUCUGUAAAAGGUUUUAUUUCAUACGGAUGGACAAGGUAUAACGUUAAAUGCGUUUAGGUUAAUAUUAAGUUUCUGUGAGAAACCAAACCAAUGUUUUAUACACCGUUUUUGUGAAUUUACAAUAAACAUGCUGCUACCGUGGCUCUAACUUCGAGUAUAAUUUACUCCCAUGCUCACUGAUAUGUCCCUGUGUAUUAUUUGUGAGAUUAUAUACUUUAUUCUUUUGGUGUAAAAUUGUGUUGCCGCUUGAAGACGUUGUAGUUUUAGGAAUAUCUUUGGCCAAUCGUGUUUACUAAAAACCGCAGACCUGUUCCCGCCUAAAGGUUUUAAGAGGAGAGCAAUGCGAGGUUGAAUUAAUUCGUUAAAUUUAAUCUCUCCCCCGCAUAUUUUGCAUGUCUCUCUUAGUUAACACACCUGAGUCAGAGAACCAGCUCGUUAGAAGUGAGUUCCGUGCAUUAACUGUUCUGAUUGACAUGGUCCCUGCAUAGUGUUCACAGCAGGGGAAAUCCGUUGAAGUUUACUACACUUCGGAACGUUUAACGUUAUUCACAUAUUUGCGCUACGCCACGGCAUACGGCGUCACACCGCUUCAAAUGGAACAUAUCAGCUCGUUUCGAACGAAGCAAGCAUAUAUGUUCCAUUUGAAUGUCAUUAAAGCGUGGGAGACGUGACUUUAAAUCGUAUCUAUUUACAGAUGCAUUUGUCACACUUCACAUUUCUCUAGUUUUAUCUGUGUGUGAAGACGCUGUAUACCCUAACUGUGCGUUCACACCCUCGCCGGCGAGAGCGUCAAAAUUCGCUCUGGCCGCCCUGCCAGCAACGCUGUAGAAAGAUUCGUUGACGCCCUGACGAUCGAACGCUUGGUCUUGUAUUUAAAGCGGCCGCAAAGCAAACAAGCAUGUUGAUCUUGUGCAGACUGACCACAAGUAGGGUGUAAGUUAACCUCAUGAUUUUUAUAAAAAAAUUAAAGUAAGAAAUUGAAUUUAAUUGUAGUUACAUGCAGUGGUGUAGUGGUGCCUGGAGAAGUGUAUACGCAUUAGUUAUACACAUGUAUAUACGCAAGCUUUUACCUUUCUGACAUCUGGACGUGACUCUGCGCAAUCCCUGACAUGAACAGCAUCUGGGGUGGAGGAGGACUGAGCGGGCGCGGGCGCAUCAGUCUUAAUCUUCAAACAUAUUUCAAAUGAAGCCGGCGUCUUUACUGGGUGUUUUUAGCGAAUAUUUGGAUUUAUUCACAUAUGACUGGAUGUGCUGGACUGUCAUGAUUUUGGCUAAUGCAGGACACUAGCUUACUGAAUGAUGUGCAUCAGAGGGGAUUUCAAGGUGGGUAUACGCAAAGCCACCUAAUAAAAUGGAUAUAUGCCGUAGAGUUGCGUAUACCCUCCACUACACCACAUGUUUGCUAACGAAAUAAACCAAUUAACUAUACAGCCACUGUCUGUAUAUAUUAAAGCCUAAUGACAUUUAUCUUUAUGUUUUUCUCUACUGACAAUACCACAGGGGAGACCAGGUACAGAACACUUUUGUUUUUACUUGCGAAAAAAAUAAAUAAAUAGGCAGAGGUGCCUGUUUUUAUUUUAAAAUAUGUGACAUACACCUCGUCUCCAUCAGAUGUCAAAAUUUUCGCCGCAGCUGUCUACAACACCUAUUUUUCGUUUAAUCCAAUGUGUCGAUAUGUCAGAAAUUUUUUUCAGCAGCGACACUGUUUUGCAUGCUCUGGCACUAAAGUUAGCAUAUGCAAUUCCCGCUUAUUUACAGAAAAUAUAUAACAAAAUAUAAACAUAUAACAUCAACAAGACACCUUGGUCCAUGCAUCAUUUUGCUUGGGAACUAAUGUGGUCGGAACCAAAGUUUUACAGGCGUUCUCUGGAAUCCUCUCAAGGGGUGAACUUCUACAUUCCGAUUGGUUGCCGCCGAGCCGCGUCAUAGCUCAUUACCAUAAAGUUGACCUGAUUUCAACUCUUCCCUACGCCCACACCGUCCAAAACGCGCCGCGCCGCUUCUCGCCGGAGCUCGCCGCCGGCUCACAUUGAAAAUGAAUGACUUCCGGCCACUUUGACGCUCUCGCCGGCGGCGGUGUGAACGCACGGUAACUGUAUUGACCCGGAUCACAAACUACGCAUGCGCAUCGCAGAGACGAGACAAGAUGAGCAUUUGAGGUUAAAAAGUAUAUAAAUUGUCAAUUUGUUUUGAAAAUAACUGAUUGUUUUACCAGAUAAGAUGCUUCUUCCUUGGCUGGGAUCAUUUAGAGCCUUUUGAAGCUGCAUUUAAACUGUAUUUUGGAAGUUCAAACUUCACCACACAUAGCCAUUAUAUAGAGAGAAAUCCUGAAAUGUUUUCCUCAAAAAAACUAUUUCUUCACAACUGAGGAAAGAAAGACAUGAACAUCUUGGAUGACAAGGGGGUGAGUGCAUUAUCUGUAAACUGUUAUGAAAGUGAACUAAUCCUUUAAAUGUGAAUAAUUGAUGAAAAUUUUCCUUUUAGGUCAACAAAUUUUGUGCAACUUUGACUGGGACAAAUCUGAUGUUAUUUUGAAAAAUCUUUUCUGCAUGCUAUUACCUGCCCCUUCUUACAUUUUUCUUUUUCAGAUCUACAUGGAGUUUAACAGGAUUGCUGGUAAGAACCUGAAAAAGGAAUUUUAUGAGUCCCUUGAUCGACAUAGUACAUGCCUCUUGGACAUUUUCAGAGCCAAAAAUGGAGUUGCUGGUCAGCUCUUGAUGGACCUUCUGAAGCAAACAAAGUUGUCAGAGCCAGCUGAGGUCCGAACUCUUGUGCUCCAAGGACUACCUCUUGUGUUUGGAGAUGACUCCCCUGCUUUCUUCAAGACAUGUUUGAUGUCCGAUGAUCGCAGCUCGAAUCUUGACGUUCCAGUGGGGAUUGUAAUAGUUGAAGAUGGGACUAUUCUUCAGCCUCUCAACUCUCUGCAUUUGCCUCUCUCCUCAUUUGGGAUAGUAAUUGAGGGAAAAGUGGUGAUGGACAAUCUACGUGACCUUCCUGAAUCAAUGUGCCUUCUGUUUGGACUAAUUUAUGCGUUACACUUAAAUUACCCAAAGUCACUGAAGUACACAUUUGAAUUUAUUCAACGCAUUCUCCUUUCCAUGGGGCAGAAAGACCUGCAGCCUAAGAUACAAUCCUUGGCUAACCAGCUGUUCCAUUAAAAUGGAUAAACAAGAUCAGCACAUGCAUUUUCAUAAAAAAAAAAAAAAAAAAGACUUAAGAUACAGCAUGGGGGGGUCUCUUUCUGUUUUGUGCUUUUCUUGUCAGCUGAGAUUUAAAAAAAAAAAAAAAAGACCUUUACAUUGGAAAUUAAAAACAUUUUAAUGUUAACAGUCAGUAAGACUUUUACCAGCAAAGUGGAAACUUGUCUUUUUUCCUUUUUCUCUAACCUUUUACUUGCAGAGAAUGUAGUUUGUUCACAUUCAAUGACAGGACACUCGAAUUUGUUGCACGAUUCUGUGGAAUGACAACAAACCUACCGUACAAAACACUGGUAGGUCCAGAUUAAUACCAUGGUAUUUAUAACACACAAGGAACUGGAAAAUCUCAAACCAAAAAUAUGAGUUUACAGUUUUGUCUCUUCUAAAAAUGUGACAAAAUGUCUAGAUAAAAAUAAGCUUACCAUUUGGUUGUUAAUGUGUCUUUUAAAAUGUUAUAAUAAAUAAUAGGUUUACAUCUAAAAACAGUUUACCGUUAAAACAAUAGCUUAUGUUCAUGUCUUUUAAAAAUGUGAGUUUACUGUUAAAAAUUUGCUAUUUCGUUGUUUGUGCAUCUUUUAAAAAUGUGAGCUUGCACUUAAAAAUACCUUUUCUGUUAAAAAUGAGUUCAGGUUUUCUAAAAAUGUGAGCUUAUGAUUUUGUUCAUGUCUUAAAAAUGACUGAAUGUGAUCUUACAGAUGAAAAUAGGAGUUUGCUGUUAAAAUGAGCUCAUGAUUUUGUUGUUCAUGUCUUUUAAAAAUGUGGGCUUACUGUUAUAAGCAAUGAAAUGUAAAUGCAGUAUAAUCCUAAUAAAGUGGUUGAUUUGGGAAAAAAACAACUUGUUUUAAUGAUUUAUAAAUUAUUUAAUACAAGUAAAGAAUAUAUAAGCUGAAAAUUUGGGAAGUUUUGUCUAUUAGCCCUUUUAAGUUAUUUGUACUUAAACAUUUAAGUUAAUUCAAUGAAGAGACCACAUUUGGUUAACUCAAUAAAUCGAGUUGUCAAUUUUCCAUUACUCAAACGAACUGAGGGAAUCACUUUCCUCAAAUCAUUUGAGUACUCUCAACUUAUUAGGGUUUACAGUGUACUGAUAGAAGUUUUCUUCCCAAAGAUUCCCACUGGCUGCUCUUGCUGCUCCUGCCAGGUGCUAAAACAUUUUCUGAAAGUUUUUGAAGAUUUUAUAAUUGUAAGA
Long non-coding RNA from Labeo rohita (rohu), 6583 nucleotides. RefSeq lists it as uncharacterized. The transcript has 6 exons. Lineage: Eukaryota; Metazoa; Chordata; Actinopteri; Cypriniformes; Cyprinidae. The record is from RefSeq and is a predicted model, not a curated record.